CAUAAACCACCUUCUGCCAGGAGCUCGUAGCACUCAGCUGCUUCAAUGUGCUGUGUUCAUGCUGGAUGUGACUGUUGUUAAUACUCCAGGAGGCACAAAAUCAGAAUUACACUAGUGCUGCCAAAUGGGAAGGAGAGGAUCCAGAAUGCAAUCCAUUGCUGGAAACUGGAUGUGCCCCUCCAUUCACCUGAGGAACAUCAGCUCCAUUGCUGCAGCUCAGCCUC
RNAcentral lists this long non-coding RNA (224 nucleotides) under Cyanistes caeruleus (blue tit). RNAcentral's name for it is "lncRNA (ENSCCEG00000020580.1)". The record is from RNAcentral. Lineage: Eukaryota; Metazoa; Chordata; Aves; Passeriformes; Paridae.